AUCGGUUUGGAAUACAGACCUAUUUAUGUAAGACAUUGUAAUUAAGUAGUUCCUAGUUCAAGUGAUGCAUCCAGUCCCUUAUCCGACGAAUUUCCUUUUUAUAAGUGCCCAUAAGUAAUCACUGUAACAGACCUUACUCCGCCCUAUAGUGGCUAUCUAAAUAUAUAAAGGAAAUUAUCUAUGUCUAAUAAAAUGACUGGAUUGGUAAAAUGGUUUGACGCUGGCAAAGGUUUUGGUUUCAUUACCCCGACUGACGGCAGCAAAGACGUAUUCGUUCACUUCUCUGCCAUUCAAGGCCAGGGUAACGAUUACAAAAGCUUGGACGAAGGCCAGAAGGUCGAGUUCAGUGUUGAAAGCGGCCAGAAAGGCCCAUCAGCAGUGAACGUUAGUGUAAUCUAACGGUCUUCGGCGGAAGAUAAUUGACCAGGGUUUACCGCCUUCGCUUAAAUA
This 450-nucleotide small RNA is filed under the name Brenneria goodwinii. RNAcentral's name for it is "cspA thermoregulator". It matches the Rfam family "cspA thermoregulator". The record is from Rfam by way of RNAcentral. Lineage: Bacteria; Pseudomonadati; Pseudomonadota; Gammaproteobacteria; Enterobacterales; Pectobacteriaceae.